GCGCACGGCGGCGAGCCGUGUCCGCGGUGGAACUCAGCAUGGCGUGCUUGCACCUCGGGUGCCGUGGCGCCUGUUCCGGCGAGUCUUCUCGGCCGAGGUCAGAGAAGCGUCGGUGGCAGGAGAGCUGCGGUGCCGCCUGCGCGCUUUCCGCCCGGACUCGUCAGCGAGGAUCGCCUCGGGCUCAAAAGAGCGGCGGGGUAGGUGGCCCCGCAUACCUUCCGCACUGCUGGGAACUUAUAGUCCGUCGUCUCGGCUGCGGCCGCGGUCCGAGCGUCGAUCGAGGAGUGUUGCGAGCGUUGUUCGCCGGGGAGGCUCGGUCGGCAACGGGGAGCGUUUGCUCUCCCGUCGGC
This 350-nucleotide ribosomal RNA is filed under the name Demospongiae sp. GW5963. RNAcentral describes it as "partial 28S large subunit ribosomal RNA". Lineage: Eukaryota; Metazoa; Porifera; Demospongiae. The record is from RNAcentral.